GAGGCUGAGCUGGUGCUGAUGAGGCGCUGCUCUUUACGGGAGCCAAACAUUCGGCCAUGUUGCCACCAUGCUCUUAGCGUUCCCAACAUGGCAAGUCCAAGCACAAGCCCUCUGUGCAGCACCCCAUCCCGCAGUGCUCUCUGCACACCUGUACAGGACAUAGAGUGCAGUCCUAAAGCACGCGACAAGCUAAUAGAGAACGAGAAUGCGCAGACUCUACUUUUCCACCGGAGCUUUGUGAACUUUGUGCCGUUACAUCUCCAAAGAUUCUCCAAAGAAGGUCAUUCAACACACCAUCGAUUCCAGCAGUCCAUUCUGGGAGCUUGGGCCGCAGCAGCUCCGGAAGCAACAGUUUGAGAUUAUUGUCAUCUUGGAGGGCAUUGUGGAAGUAACAGGAAUGAUGUGCAAAGUGAAGACCUCCUACAUCGAGACGGAGAUCGAGUGUGGAGCCCGUUUUGAGCCGUGCAUAACACUUGAGAAAGGGGCGUUUCGAGUCGACCUGAAGCGCUUCCACAGCACAUAUCCGGUGCCUCUUCCGCCGUGCAGCGCGCAGGAACAGCAUCACCUGCAGACCCUCCCAAUGGGAGCGGAGCUCCAGGAAUCUCUCAAAGACGGUGCUGACUGGAAAUUGGUGGAAGACGACCAAGAAGACAACAUUGUGAACCCACCAGGAGCAUGCACUUUCACUAUCCACAACAUUCAGGAGGAGCGAGUGUCAGAAGUCAGCGAAUGCGAAUCUCUUUAGUUGUUGCCUCAGGUGUGGCAGUUGUACAGGUAUGUGCUGCUCAGGCUCCAGUCUGGAGGGAAGUCCUGCGUGGGGUGAUUCUUCAGGUGUUUCUGCAUGGCUGCCAGGCUGCUACAGAACUCCAGACACAGGGUGCACUGGUAG
Cyprinus carpio (common carp) is the source of this 889-nucleotide RNA transcript. RefSeq lists it as uncharacterized. Lineage: Eukaryota; Metazoa; Chordata; Actinopteri; Cypriniformes; Cyprinidae. The record is from RefSeq and is a predicted model, not a curated record.